ACCCAACUCAUUCUCAUUCCCAUAAAGGCACAUACCCAACUCUGCAACUCAUUCAGUUCUUUGUUUCAGUUCCACUAUGACACAUUCCAUUUUUUUGCUUGGAUUUCUUAUAAUAGCAUAUUUUAGAGGUUUCCAAGCUAAAAAUGCCUUCUCACAAUAUUGGGAAGAGCAUAUUAGUCUUUCACACCCUCCAAAUUGGUUAGUUGCAAAGGCUUCUCCAUUAAACCUCCAUCAGGCAGCCUUUUUUAUGAAACUCAUGGAGGAAAAUGAAUUGGCUUUCCACUUGCCUUCAUUCUGUAAAUAGGCCAAUGUUGCUUGUUCUACAAAUUCUUUAGUGAAGAAGACAAUGGACGAUACAACCCUGCCACCAAUUGCCCAGUGGAAUGCAAUCAAAGUUGUUUAUGAAGAUCUUCCAAAUGAAACACCCUUGUCAGCUGCCAGCCAAGCGGAAUUGCCAUUUUUUCGCGAGUCAAUGGUGAAAGAGGGAGGUUUCAUGUCUAUCCCUGAUCUAAGGGACCUAAUGUCAUAUAAAUCAUUCUUACCGCGAUCUUUGGCAUCAGAAAUCCCAUUUUCCUUUGCAAAGAUUAAGGAAUUGAAGAAAAUGUUUGGUGUAGUGGAUGAAUCAAACAUGGAUGA
Molecule: long non-coding RNA, 636 nt
Organism: Telopea speciosissima
Lineage: Eukaryota; Viridiplantae; Streptophyta; Magnoliopsida; Proteales; Proteaceae
Exons: 2
Source: RefSeq, a predicted model, not a curated record